UAGCUAGUUGGUGAGGUAAAGGCUCACCAAGGCGACGAUCUGCAGCGGGUCUGAGAGGAUGAUCCGCCACACUGGAACUGAGACACGGUCCAGACUCCUACGGGAGGCAGCAGUGGGGAAUUUUGGACAAUGGGGGCAACCCUGAUCCAGCCAUGCCGCGUGAGUGAAGAAGGCCUUCGGGUUGUAAAGCUCUUUCGGCCGGGAAGAAAUCGCAUGGGUUAAUACCCUGUGCGGAUGACGGUACCGGCAUAAGAAGCACCGGCUAACUACGUGCCAGCAGCCGCGGUAAUACGUAGGGUGCGAGCGUUAAUCGGAAUUACUGGGCGUAAAGCGUGCGCAGGCGGUUUUGUAAGACAGGCGUGAAAUCCCCGGGCUCAACCUGGGAACUGCGCUUGUGACUGCAAGGCUAGAGUAUGGCAGAGGGGGGUGGAAUUCCACGUGUAGCAGUGAAAUGCGUAGAGAUGUGGAGGAACACCAAUGGCGAAGGCAGCCCCCUGGGCCAAUACUGACGCUCAUGCACGAAAGCGUGGGUAGCAAACAGGAUUAGAUACCCUGGUAGUCCACGCCCUAAACGAUGUCAACUAGGUGUUGGGUGGGUAAAACCAUUUAGUACCGGAGCUAACGCGUGAAGUUGACCGCCUGGGGAGUACGGCCGCAAGGUUAAAACUCAAAGGAAUUGACGGGGACCCGCACAAGCGGUGGAUGAUGUGGAUUAAUUCGAUGCAACGCGAAAAACCUUACCUACCCUUGACAUGUCCAGGAGCCUGAAGAGAUUUGGGUGUGCCCGAAAGGGAACUGGAACACAGGUGCUGCAUGGCUGUCGUCAGCUCGUGUCGUGAGAUGUUGGGUUAAGUCCCGCAACGAGCGCAACCCUUGUCGUUAAUUGCCAUCAUUUAGUUGGGCACUUUAACGAGACUGCCGGUGACAAACCGGAGGAAGGUGGGGAUGACGUCAAGUCCUCAUGGCCCUUAUGGGUAGGGCUUCACACGUCAUACAAUGGUCGGUACAAAGGGUUGCCAACCCGCGAGGGGGAGCCAAUCCCAGAAAGCCGAUCGUAGUCCGGAUUGCAGGCUGCAACUCGCCUGCAUGAAGUCGGAAUCGCUAGUAAUCGUGGAUCAGCAUGUCACGGUGAAUACGUUCCCGGGUCUUGUACACACCGCCCGUUACACCAUGGGAGCGGGUUCCGCCAGAAGUAGGUAGCCUAACCGCAAGGGGGGCGCUUACCACGGCGGGGUUCGUGACUGGGGUGAAGUCGGAACAAGGUAGCCGUAGGGGAACCUGCGGCUG
This 1287-nucleotide ribosomal RNA is filed under the name metagenome. Its description in RNAcentral is "bacterial SSU rRNA". It matches the Rfam family "Bacterial small subunit ribosomal RNA", at positions 242 to 1520 of the family's 1533-position model. The record is from RNAcentral.